UCAUUAAAGCGUUGCCGACGCCGGCCCUCGCCGCCCGAGCUUGAGAUAUAGCCCGGGCUGUCGCUGGGGGUCGCCGGCAUAUGCCCAUUCUUGUCUACUGACCCAGUUGCCUCGGCGUGCCGCUCCGCCUAGCGGACGGCCGGAAGCCGCCUGGACGUCUGUCCUCGCGGCCCUGGUCCGCGCACGCCGGAGGACAGCCUAAAACUCUUUACUUAAACGGCCGUCUGAGCGUAUAAGCAAAAAUCAAUUAAAACUUUCAACAACGGAUCUCUUGGUUCCGGCAUCGAUGAAGAACGCAGCGAAAUGCGAUAAGUAAUGUGAAUUGCAGAAUUCCGUGAAUCAUCGAAUCUUUGAACGCACAUUGCGCCCCCUGGUAUUCCGGGGGGCAUGCCUGUUCGAGCGUCAUUGCAACCCUCAAGCCCGGCUUGUGUGAUGGACGACCGUCCCCCCUUCAGUGGGCGGGACGCGCCCGAAAAGCAGUGGCCAGGCCGAGAUUCCGGCGCCUGAGCGAAUGGGACUUCCACCGCUUCUAGGACCGGCCGGCACCUGGCCUCAAACCGGAGGCCUCCUUAACCGGAGCCUCUAUCACCAAAGGUUGACCUCGGAUCAGGUAGGGAUACCCGCUGAACUUAAGCAUAUCA
RNAcentral lists this unclassified non-coding RNA (641 nucleotides) under Arthroderma tuberculatum. Its description in RNAcentral is "sequence contains ITS1, 5.8S rRNA gene, ITS2". The stretch from base 252 to 405 matches the Rfam family "5.8S ribosomal RNA". The record is from RNAcentral. Lineage: Eukaryota; Fungi; Ascomycota; Eurotiomycetes; Onygenales; Arthrodermataceae.